ACUGUUGGAUCCGCAGAACCAUAAAUUUCACUUUUUUUUGUUAUACUUUUUUUGCAUUUGGAGUUGAAUGUUGCUGUCUUUCUUGCAGUCGUGCAUCAUACUACGAGCUGAUGAAAAUUGAUAAAAUAGGACGGAUUCUAUAGUUUGUAGAAAAGCCAAAGGGAUCUGAUCUGAAGAAAUUGGUAUGUUCAUGGUAUCAAAAGCCUCAAACUUCUAACAUGUUGCUUUACAACUGCAGUAAGUUGACGCUACUGUCCUAGGGUUAUCUACAGAAGAAGCAAAGAAACAUCUUAGAUUGCAUCAAUGGGGACUUCAGGAGGAGGAGAUCUUCUCCCUUUGGGAACAAGUUGAUAUUGCCUGUAUGAAUGAGCUGCAGAUGUUGAAUGAGAAAUGCAAUUUGGAGAGACAAUUCUCUGAACUAAGAAUGAUACAUUGUAGCUGAGCAACUUUCCGGUGAAGUAUAGAGAGCUAAGCAAUGAUGGGGAAUUCGAAAAUAUGAAUGAUGUUACUGUGUUUCCAGUUACUGAAGUUGAUUUAAUGCAUUAUUAUAGAACAGGUGCAAAGUAAUACCCCAUAGAAUAUUAAACUAUGAAUAGUCAUUUAAUAUAGUAAGCAAAGAAUUUGCAAUCAUGGAAAAUACAAUAAUCUUCUUUAACAUUAUUAGCAUGUUUAAGUUUUGCAUUUUUAUAGAAUUGAAGCUUGGAAUAUGAGCUCAAGUCUAAAAAACGAAGAGUAAAAGGUAAGAUCAAAUUCAGUUGAACUAUACUAAAAAUGUUUUACUUAGCAUAUGUUAAUUUUUAAUUCUAACUUCACUCAAUUAUUUUGUGUAGGCUCCUGAUUAUGCUAUGUCAUUUAUUAUAGUUUCUAUUCCUGUAUCAUCUCUUUUUUUCUUCUGUCUUUUUGGCUAAGAUUUUUUUUUUCUUUUUGCUUUUAAUGUGUAAUUAUGUUUUGAAAGUAAUUGUAAAAAUUUGGUAAUUUGAAUACUAUUGGAUCUCUACUAUGUACGUAUGAUUUUGAAUGGUGAUGAUAUUAUUCAUCAUUAAGUGGGGGUGUAUAGUAUUGGACAAAUAGUCUAUGUGUAUUUGUUGUGUUCAUAGAGGAUACAAGACAAGGGCAAGGGAUUUGGUUCAUAUGUGAAAUCUUGAAAGCUAAAAUGGUUUGUGAGGAAAAUUGGUAAUUGUCAUUUUUUUGCUGAGAGAUCUUUUCAAUUUUGUCAUAUUUUGAAGGAAAAUUAGAACAAUGUAAUAUUAUAUGUUGCUUUUGUUAUGCUUCUUUCGUAGGAUCUGUUGAUAGUAGAAUAAGAGAAUUUAGCACAAAUAUAUCUCAUGUUCUGCUUUUUCAUUUUUUUUGUUGGGGGUGGGAUUAAUA
Arachis ipaensis is the source of this 1368-nucleotide non-coding RNA. NCBI's taxonomy places the organism in Eukaryota, Viridiplantae, Streptophyta, Magnoliopsida, Fabales, Fabaceae. The record is from RefSeq and is a predicted model, not a curated record.